ACGGAGGGGGCUAGCGUUGUCCGAAGUUACUGGGCGUAAAGCGCGCGUAGGCGGGUUGGUAAGUCCGCUGUGAAAGCCCGGAGCUUAACUCCGGAGGGUCGGUGGAUACUGCCAGUCUUGAAGGUGCUAGGGGGAGAUGGAAUUACCGGUGUAGCGGUGAAAUGCGUAGAUAUCGGUAGGAACACCAGUGGCGAAGGCGGUCUCCUGGGGCAUUCUUGACGCUGAGGCGCGAAAGCCAGGGGAGCAAACGGGA
RNAcentral lists this ribosomal RNA (253 nucleotides) under uncultured prokaryote. RNAcentral's name for it is "partial 16S ribosomal RNA". It matches the Rfam family "Bacterial small subunit ribosomal RNA", at positions 525 to 777 of the family's 1533-position model. The record is from RNAcentral.